RNAcentral lists this ribosomal RNA (427 nucleotides) under uncultured bacterium. Its description in RNAcentral is "partial 16S ribosomal RNA". It matches the Rfam family "Bacterial small subunit ribosomal RNA", at positions 354 to 796 of the family's 1533-position model. The record is from RNAcentral.
GUGGGGAAUAUUGGGCAAUGGGGGAAACCCUGACGCAGCAAUACCGCGUGAGUGAAGAAGGUUUUCGGAUCGUAAAACUCUUUUAUUGGGGAAGAAGAAGUGACGGUACCCAAUGAAGAAGUCCCGGCUAACUACGUGCCAGCAGCCGCGGUAAUACGUAGGGGACAAGCGUUGUCCGGAAUCACUGGGCGUAAAGGGCGCGUAGGCGGUUUUAUAAGUCAGAUGUGAAAGGUACCGGCUCAACCGGUGACGUGCAUUUGAAACUGUAAGACUUGAGUACUGGAGAGGCAAGUGGAAUUCCUAGUGUAGCGGUGAAAUGCGUAGAUAUUAGGAGGAACACCGGUGGCGAAGGCGGCUUGCUGGACAGAUACUGACGCUGAGGUGCGAAAGCGUGGGGAGCGAACAGGAUUAGAUACCCCGGUAGUCC